ACCGAUCGAGCCCUAAUUCUCCGUCGCAGUUGCUCUCCGCCGCCGGCUGACCGACGGACUGUCCGCCCCGAUCGAUCGAUCCGACCCAGCCUCUGCUCUCCUUCGCCUGCCUCAGCUCUCCUCCGCCUCCUGCCACAGAUACAGCAACGGAACCGACCCACCCGUGGCUGCUCUCCGCCGGACUCUUCGCCGCAUCUGCUGUUGUCGCCGGUUCUUCGCCGCCUCUCUGCCUUCC
RNAcentral lists this long non-coding RNA (235 nucleotides) under Musa acuminata (dwarf banana). RNAcentral describes it as "long non-coding RNA (MACU_LNC003578)". Lineage: Eukaryota; Viridiplantae; Streptophyta; Magnoliopsida; Zingiberales; Musaceae. The record is from RNAcentral.